This 77-nucleotide transfer RNA is filed under the name bacterium. RNAcentral describes it as "tRNA-Met". It matches the Rfam family "tRNA". From Rfam's summary of the family: Transfer RNA (tRNA) molecules are approximately 80 nucleotides in length. Their secondary structure includes four short double-helical elements and three loops (D, anti-codon, and T loops). The record is from RNAcentral.
GCCGGCGUAGCUCAGCUGGUUAGAGCGACGGACUCAUAAGCCGUAGGUCGGAGGUUCGAGUCCUCCCGCCGGCACCA